Myripristis murdjan (pinecone soldierfish) is the source of this 139-nucleotide long non-coding RNA. RefSeq lists it as uncharacterized. The record is from RefSeq and is a predicted model, not a curated record. NCBI's taxonomy places the organism in Eukaryota, Metazoa, Chordata, Actinopteri, Holocentriformes, Holocentridae. The transcript has 3 exons.
AUUUGAUUGGCUGGUUGUUUUGAGGAUAGGAAGGGGCUGCUUGUUCUUCUAAAAAGGCAAACUACUAUUGGAGAGUUCUCAAUAGCCUCUCUCUCUCUCUCUCUCUCUCUCUCUCUCUCUCUCUCUCUCUCUCUCUCUC